RNAcentral lists this ribosomal RNA (253 nucleotides) under uncultured bacterium. RNAcentral describes it as "partial 16S ribosomal RNA". It matches the Rfam family "Bacterial small subunit ribosomal RNA", at positions 524 to 776 of the family's 1533-position model. The record is from RNAcentral.
UACGUAGGGUGCGAGCGUUAAUCGGAAUUACUGGGCGUAAAGCGUGCGCAGGCGGUUUUGUAAGCCAGAUGUGAAAUCCCCGGGCUUAACCUGGGAAUGGCGAUGGAGACUGCGAGGCUAGAGUUUGGCAGAGGGGGGUAGAAUUCCACGUGUAGCAGUGAAAUGCGUAGAGAUGUGGAGGAAUACCGAUGGCGAAGGCAGCCCCAUGGGAUAACACUGACGCUCAUGCACGAAAGCGAGGGGAGCAAACAGG